This is a long non-coding RNA of Gavialis gangeticus (Gharial), 2750 nucleotides long. RefSeq lists it as uncharacterized. The transcript is spliced from 4 exons. The record is from RefSeq and is a predicted model, not a curated record. Lineage: Eukaryota; Metazoa; Chordata; Crocodylia; Gavialidae.
UGUUUCAGAGCCAUUGCUUUUGUGGGCCUGCUGCUAUGGAAAUUGCUUUGUGAUGUAUGGAGCUCUCAGGGGGCUGACUUGGCAGAAAUGCAUUUUCAUAAAUUAGUGCUCUCAUCUCCCUUUGUGCUCAACCACAAGGCUACAUUCAGACUUCAGGACCCAAAUGGCCUGAAUAGGGGCAGAAACACCUAAUAUAUGUGAGUGGUGGGAAAAUAAAUCUAUGAAACCUACAAACAGGGCAGGCUUGACUUACUAGUGGUUCAGCUUGGGACUCAGAAAACCAAAAUAACCAACAUUUUUCCUAGGGCCUUUCCUACUCUCCAAGUGCCUUUUGUAAUGUGAAAUCCGCAUGCUCCUGCUACACUUUUUUAUGAGCACAAGCUGCCGUUACGCAAAGCCCUGGCUCGGUUGGUAGCACUUUGCAGUAAUAUGAUGGGAUCCUGCGCCUGGGAGCGAGCUCUGGCUUCCUGCUGCGAGGACCAGCAGAGGCUACAUGAAUUACUGCGGUAAUGCACAGCCCCAGGGGAACGGGAAAAGGAGAGAAGGGUGCGCCAGGGGAAAGGGCAGUUCAUAGUUCUCCCUAGAGCCCCAAACAGUUGCUCAAGAGCUGCAGCCACAUGAACUUCAGGUAAAAACGGUCUCUUUACUGUCCCUGCUUGGAAUGGAGCAGGACAGGCUGAAGGAGGAGUUAUGGAAGAAGCAAAAACAGAAAAUCCCUAUCAAUUGGAUCUAGGGAGAAGAGGCUGGAAGGUUUUCAGAAAGCCCUAACUUGGGUUAUGUGCUUGUGGGGUGUGAGUACAUCUCCUUUCUUAUACAAAAAGAAAUACUCACCUGCACACUCAAAACCCCACAUUAACAAAUCAGGAGCUUAAUCCUGGUCCUACCGAAGUCAACAGAAAAUCUCCCAUUGACUUGAGCAGCACAGGAUUGCACUUACAGCUGAAAUCCUACUGCUUUUUCAAGGCAAAGUAUGUGGUGAAAACUGUUGUGUCAGAUGAGUUGUUGGUUUGAGGAUUCUACCGGAUUCUCGUUUCUUAUCGGACUAUGAGGAACGGAUGACCUCAAUGGAAGGAUCUUUGAGGAAACAAGGAUAUGUCAAGUGUGGAUUAGACCAAUCCUGUAAGAAAUUGAAUAAUUUAGGCUCCUUUUAACUCCUACUAAUUUCACUGGGAGCUACAGUCCUCUGCACCUUUUAGGAUGGAUUCUGUCUUGGAGACUAAGAUUGGUGCUAAGAUAUUAAGAGGAAACAGCAACACUAAGUGUUUACAAGUAAAGAAUACUGAAACAAGGGACAUUUUCUACAUAUUGUGAAUGUCAUAUCCUAUACUGCAGUGUGAUGCCACCACAAUGAUGUGACGCACCAGGGGAUAUCUAAAGAUUGCAAUGGUCAGAAUAUUCAUUUUGCUGUGGCACGCUCAGUUGCACUAGUCCCCAUCUUGGGAUGGGGCGGGUAACAAAUAGAGAUUCCAGCUACUGCAAUACCAACUCUACUUCUUGCAAUAUCCCAUCUUCUCCUUGGACAUUUCACACCCAAAUACAGUACAGAGUGCUUCCUGCUUGAUGUAGGGAGUUGGGCUGAUGUGUUUUCCUGGAUGUCCUACCAUUUCUGACUUCUGGACUCUAUUCACUGGUUUUAAGAACUGGAAACACCUUUGGUUGGCUAAAAGUAUAGCAAAUGAAUUUUUUUUUAGAUGCAAAAAUGUUUUGGGGUGCUAUCUUUUAUUGGACCAACUGCUCAGGAGAGAUUUAGGCAAGCUUUGGGGUAAAAGGCACCUUUACAUAGUCUCCUUCACAGUGGUGUUUCCAACUCCAUUUUACAAAAGUGGAUACACAAGCUAGAGAGAGAGAGUGGGAGCAGUCACCUGCCAUCCAAUCCUAUUCCUUAACCACAAGAUCAUCUCUGUCGGUUCCUUGAGCCAGAUCCUCAGCUAAUACUAUGCCAGUUUACAGAUGAGACCCUGGCUCUUUGUGUUUUAAUAAGAAUAUUUUCCUGAUCAGUGCAGUCUUUCUUCUGUUGGAAUCUGCUGUGGAGUAUUUCCAGCCUGUAGCUGUGGAAAUGAACUCGAUGCCACAAAUUUAGUAUGAUGCUUCACUUCAGGAACAAGCAAAAGAGAAAGAGCUGGCAGGGAAAGAACACUUGCUCACACAAAUAGCUUUGGUAUUUAGCCAAAAUGGCAAGAAAUCCUAUGAAAGACAAGACAUUACAAACAAUGUUAUGAAUGUGAUGUAUUCUAAAGUUUUCUGCAGUAGGAAAAUGCUACUGUAACAGAUACUUUCCCAGAAGACUUGUUGCAUACUAAUGGGUAGUCUACCUAGCAGUUGUGCCGUAACAGGGAAAACGAUCUGCUGCUGAUCCGCCUUCCAGGCUGUUCUAAUCUAAUGUGCUGAGGACCCUCCUGUACACAUCAGAAAGAGAAGUAUAGGUACCUGGUGUGUACAGCAACAGUGCCUGGACAGGUGACUGAUACUAAAAGUUUAAACCCAAUACACAUCUCCAGUCAGAGGUACAGCCAGCUAUACUAAAACACAGCACAAAUACAAUAUAGAAUACAUUGCAUACCAGAGAUUCCCUCCAGCUGUGUCUCUUCCAGCACAUCACACACGCUGACAAAUUAAGUUAUCAUCGUCAUCAUGGACUGGGAAAUAGGGCCCAGAAACCUGAAAUACCUUACCCCAAGGACACUCAACAAAUGUAUGACAGAGAAAUAAAAGCUCCUGAUUGUGAGGCUGGUGCUUUAAGCACAAGAUCA